GCCUACGGGGGGCAGCAGUGGGGAAUAUUGCGCAAUGGGCGAAAGCCUGACGCAGCGACGCCGCGUGAGGGAUGAAGGUCUUCGGAUCGUAAACCUCUGUCAGCAGGGAAGAACGGUCACUGUGCUAAUCAGCAGUGAAUUGACGGUACCUGCAAAGGAAGCACCGGCUAACUCCGUGCCAGCAGCCGCGGUAAUACCGAGGGUGCGAGUGUUAAUCGGAAUUACUGGGCGUAAAGCGCUCGUAGGCGGUAUGUCAAGUCAAGGGUGAAAUCCCCGCGCUCAACGUGGGAACUGCCUUUGAAACU
Molecule: ribosomal RNA, 305 nt
Filed under: uncultured bacterium
Lineage: Bacteria
Description: bacterial SSU rRNA
Rfam family: Bacterial small subunit ribosomal RNA
Source: RNAcentral